This 628-nucleotide unclassified non-coding RNA is filed under the name Hevea brasiliensis (rubber tree). Lineage: Eukaryota; Viridiplantae; Streptophyta; Magnoliopsida; Malpighiales; Euphorbiaceae. The record is from RNAcentral.
GUGGAACUUCACCUGGUUGGCCAGAUAGAGCUUCUCUCUUUCUCUGUUGUUAGACUUGUUGGUUUCGCAGUUAAGCUUCCUCUUCUCAAAGAAAGCCCUCUUGUACUCAUCAGCUUCAGCAAUGAUCUGAUUCCGCAACUCCUUCUCCUUCCUUUCUUUCUCCUCCAGAUGAAGGGCAUUUUGGCGGCGCCAUUCCCUUAGGGCGAACCCCUCCUCCCGCAUCUCGCUGGGGUCCGGCAGCACCGGCCCGUCCGACGCGAAGAUCCCCCCAUUCUCCUCCUCCCCAUACGCCUUCCCGUUGCUCUCAGGCAUCGAGAACGGAUCCCCGUACCCGCCAUAACCCUCCGGCGAAGCUGGCGCGCUGGAGCCGUGGUGGUGGACGGGGAUCUCCUCGCCGAAGUCGCCGCCGAAGUCGCCGCCGAAGCCGGAGGAGGGGAUAGGAUCGGAGAUCGGAUCCUUGGCGUCGUCCUCGGGGAAGCUGGAGUAGGACUCGUAGCGCUGGGAUUGGUAGCCGAGGAAGUCGCCGUCGUCGUUGAAGGGCUGCUGCGAGCCGCGGAGGGCCUCCUCGCCGUCGUUGCUGAAGGUGUCGAACGAGGACGACAUCCUCCUCCUUCCUGUGUUGAGAUCG